Long non-coding RNA from Silurus meridionalis, 437 nucleotides. RefSeq lists it as uncharacterized. Lineage: Eukaryota; Metazoa; Chordata; Actinopteri; Siluriformes; Siluridae. The record is from RefSeq and is a predicted model, not a curated record. The transcript has 3 exons.
CUAAGACAAAAUGCCAUCAGCAUUGACCUCCAGCAUAGAAUUACUGCUGUAAACAGCACCCAUCAUUACUCAGUGUUCAGUCAACCAGGACUACGCUUUUGUGGAAGAGCCACUGCAGGUCCUGAAGUUGGACGGAAGAAACCUGCUUCGCGCAGACGUAACGAGGAAAUGUGACGUGUCUGAAACGGUUGCCAUUGGGAUUGCGUACGCCCAGGCUAAAAUCGGCUCUCUACGUCCAUGACGACACCCCAACAUUUUGCGAAUGGGCGGUGAGUGUCAUGCGCUGUUCUGGUCUGGGUGAGGUAAUGCUUUCUCUGAAUUUCUCAGGCCGCUCGACUACGCCACUUCUUGGCCGCCGCCUUAAAUGGCACCCACAUUUUCGAGUGCCAAGAUACCACAUUGAGGGCAGCAUUUCCAGCCUGUUACUUCAGGGCUAA